GAUGAACGCUGGCGGCGUGCUUAACACAUGCAAGUCGAACGGAAAGGCCCUGCUUUUGCGGGGUGCUCGAGUGGCGAACGGGUGAGUAACACGUGAGUAACCUGCCCUUGACUUUGGGAUAACUUCAGGAAACUGGGGCUAAUACCGGAUAGGAGCUCCUGCUGCAUGGUGGGGGUUGGAAAGAUUCGGCGGUUGGGGAUGGACUCGCGGCUUAUCAGCUUGUUGGUGGGGUAGUGGCUUACCAAGGCUUUGACGGGUAGCCGGCCUGAGCGGGUGACCGGCCACAUUGGGACUGAGAUACGGCACAGACUCCUACGGGAGGCAGCAGUGGGGAAUAUUGCAGAAUGGGCGGAAGCCUGAUGCAGCAACGCCGCGUGCGGGAUGACGGCCUUCGGGUUGUAAACCGCUUUCGCCUGUGACGAAGCGUGAGUGACGGUAAUGGGUAAAGAAGCACCGGCUAACUACGUG
Molecule: ribosomal RNA, 468 nt
Filed under: uncultured bacterium
Lineage: Bacteria
Description: partial 16S ribosomal RNA
Rfam family: Bacterial small subunit ribosomal RNA
Source: RNAcentral